RNAcentral lists this unclassified non-coding RNA (885 nucleotides) under Hevea brasiliensis (rubber tree). Lineage: Eukaryota; Viridiplantae; Streptophyta; Magnoliopsida; Malpighiales; Euphorbiaceae. The record is from RNAcentral.
UGCUGCUAAAACACUUUUUGGAAAAGAAAUCAAAGGUCCUUUGGCAUUCAAAACGAUAAGAAAUACAGAUUUCCGUGAACUGACUCUGGAAGUAGAUGGACAAGUUGUGUUGAAAUUUGCACUUUGUUAUGGCUUCCAGAAUCUGCAAAAUAUUGUAAGAAAAGUUAAAAUGCGAAAAUGUGAUUAUCAUUUUGUGGAGGUUAUGGCAUGUCCAUCAGGUUGCUUGAAUGGUGGAGGUCAAAUCAAACCUACUCCAGGGCAAAAUCCAAAGGAUUUGCUUCAGUCAUUAGAAACUGUUUACAUGGAAAAUGUUUUGGUAGCAGAUCCCUUUGAGAACCCUCUUGUUAAAAGUUUAUAUGAUGAGUGGCUUGAAGAACCUGGCUCGGAGAACGCUAAAAGAUUCAUGCACACAGCAUAUCAUCCUAUAGUAAAAAGUGUAACUGCUCAGUUACAUAAUUGGUAAACUGGUCCCUAAUCUGAUUCCACAGAAAAUAUCAGAACUGCCCUUGCCUGCAAUCUUUGGGCUUGUUUUCGUCAAGGUAUUGUUGCAGUCUCACAAGAUAAUGUCCUUCAUCUGUGGUUCAUGGCUUGUUUAUGGGAUUGCAUUGUGCAGUGGAGUUCAAUUUUGGUAGACUAAACAGAUUUGUUAUUGUACCAUGUUCUACUAAUGUAUAUGCUGUAUGCUAGAAGCCUUUUCAGAUAGGAGAAAAAAAUUGGUUGACAUUGUUUCCUGUCACUAUUUUUUCCCCCUUUCCUUCCAGGUUUAAGGAUCCAAAUAAUAUUCCGAAUUCAUGUAUAUGCCUUUUUGUCUCAUUUUUGUAUAAUUGAACUGGUCUUCGGGAAUAGCGACCACCUGUUAGUGAAACGAAAUAAUGUUAAUGCCUC